This 1253-nucleotide ribosomal RNA is filed under the name uncultured Sebacina. Its description in RNAcentral is "eukaryotic LSU rRNA". The stretch from base 577 to 1253 matches the Rfam family "Eukaryotic large subunit ribosomal RNA", at positions 1 to 656 of the family's 3401-position model. Lineage: Eukaryota; Fungi; Basidiomycota; Agaricomycetes; Sebacinales; Sebacinaceae. The record is from RNAcentral.
UUCCGUAGGUGAACCUGCGGAAGGAUCAUUAAUGAAACUUCAAAGUCGGCCAAAGGUUGUUGCUGGUGAUUAUUCACAUGUGCACGCCUUUGGUCGCAAAUCCACACACACCUGUGCAUCUAUGACUCGAGGUUGUAAUGACUGAGAGUAACUUUUAUACACUCUUGUAUGUAAUGGAAUGUCUUUUUGUGCUAUAAUGUACAAUAUAAACAACUUUCAACAACGGAUCUCUUGGCUCUCGCAUCGAUGAAGAACGCAGCGAAAUGCGAUAAGUAAUGUGAAUUGCAGAAUUCAGUGAAUCAUCGAAUCUUUGAACGCACCUUGCACCCUUUGGUAUUCCGAAGGGUACGCCCGUUUGAGUGUCAUUGUAAUCUCACUUCUACAACUUUAUUGUUGUUUGAAUGUGGACUUGGAUGUUGCCGUUUUAUCACGGCUCGUCUUAAAUGCCUGAGUGUACCCUGUUUUGCAGCGUAUCCAGUGUAAUAAACAUUUCACUAGAGUUGGUUGAAAGACCACGUUGACUAUAUGGGCUCUAUGCUUCAAACCGUCUGCCAUGUGGACAAUUUCUUGACAAUUUGACCUCAAAUCGGGUGGGACUACCCGCUGAACUUAAGCAUAUCAAUAAGCGGAGGAAAAGAAACUAACAAGGAUUCCCCUAGUAACGGCGAGUGAAGAGGGAAAAGCUCAAAUUUUAAAUCUGGUGUCUUUGACUCCCGAGUUGUAAUCUAGAGAAGUGUUUUCCGUGUCGGACCGUGUACAAGUUCCCUGGAACGGGGCGUCAUAGAGGGUGAGAAUCCCGUAUAUGCCACGGACUACCGAUGCUCUGUGAUACACUCUCAACGAGUCGAGUUGUUUGGGAAUGCAGCUCAAAAUGGGUGGUAAAUUCCAUCUAAAGCUAAAUAUUGGUGAGAGACCGAUAGCGAACAAGUACCGUGAGGGAAAGAUGAAAAGCACUUUGGAAAGAGAGUGAAACAGUACGUGAAAUUGUUGAAAGGGAAGCGUUUGAAGUCAGUCGCAUCUGUUGGGGUUCAGCCUGGCUUUUGCCUGGUGUACUUUCCGUCCGACGGGUCAGCAUCAAUUUCGACCGAGGGAAAAAGACGUGAGGAAUGUGGCUGUCUUCGGGCAGUGUUAUAGCCUUGUGUUGUAUGUCUCGGUUGGGACUGAGGAUUGCAGCGCGCCAUAAAUGGCCGGGGGUCGCUCCUCUCGACACGCGCUUAGGAUGCUGGCAUAAUGGCUUUAAGCGACCCGUCUUG